Molecule: ribosomal RNA, 500 nt
Filed under: uncultured bacterium
Lineage: Bacteria
Description: partial 16S ribosomal RNA
Rfam family: Bacterial small subunit ribosomal RNA
Source: RNAcentral
AUUGAACGCUGGCGGCAGGCCUAACACAUGCAAGUCGAGCGGUAGAGAGAAGCUUGCUUCUCUUGAGAGCGGCGGACGGGUGAGUAAUGCCUAGGAAUCUGCCUGGUAGUGGGGGAUAACGUUCGGAAACGGACGCUAAUACCGCAUACGUCCUACGGGAGAAAGCAGGGGACCUUCGGGCCUUGCGCUAUCAGAUGAGCCUAGGUCGGAUUAGCUAGUUGGUGAGGUAAUGGCUCACCAAGGCGACGAUCCGUAACUGGUCUGAGAGGAUGAUCAGUCACCCUGGAACUGAGACACGGUCCAGACUCCUACGGGAGGCAGCAGUGGGGAAUAUUGGACAAUGGGCGAAAGCCUGAUCCAGCCAUGCCGCGUGUGUGAAGAAGGUCUUCGGAUUGUAAAGCACUUUAAGUUGGGAAGAAGGGUUGUAGAUUAAUACUCUGCAAUUUUGACGUUACCGACAGAAUAAGCACCGGCUAACUCUGUGCCAGCCGCCGCAGUAA